Molecule: long non-coding RNA, 702 nt
Filed under: Phascolarctos cinereus (koala)
Lineage: Eukaryota; Metazoa; Chordata; Mammalia; Diprotodontia; Phascolarctidae
Description: lncRNA (ENSPCIG00000032918.1)
Source: RNAcentral
AUUGUAACUCAGCAGUAGAUUCAAAGGCACAACAAUUCUCUGAGUUGAGUGAGUGGUCACCUAUGAGCCUCGUUUUCCUCUUCUGUUGAGGAGCCUUCAGCUGCAGCCCAAGCUUCUAAAAGAGCCUCUCCACACUGCCUCUUAUGACCUUUUGUCUCUCCAGCCCCAAAUGGGCUCAGAAAGAGUCAGACACACUGAAGAACAACACCGUGAGCCUGGGAGGCAGCUGACUUCCUCCUCUUCCUCCUCUUCCUUGGGCUCUGCAGGUUGUUUCUGCCAGCAGUUCAGAAAGGCUGGGAAAGGAUCAACAGCUGUUUGGACCAACUGAAAGAAGAGGUAGAGAAGCCUUGUGCCUGGCACACAGUAGGCACAUUCUUACAGGGAUCCAGCUGGGGAGACACCCAACCUAGCCUUCAGCCUCCCUCUGCUUUGGGCAAAAUGCUUCUCCACACCAUGACGGAAGCAACCAGGCCUAGGCCUGCCCCAGGAUCCUUCAACCAACCCAGCCCAGCUCAGCCCAGCCUAGCCCAGCCCAGCCCAGCCCAGCCCAGCCCAGCUCAGCCCAGCCUAAUCCAGCCUAGCCCAGCCCAGCCCAGCCUAACCCAGCCCAGCCCAGCCCAGCCCAGCUCAGCCCAGCCCAGCCCAGCCUAAUCCAGCCCAGCUCAGCCCCUGCCACUGGCUCCCUCUUCUUGCUCACUCUGA